CGGGGUGAGUAAUGUCUGGGAAACUGCCUGAUGGAGGGGGAUAACUACUGGAAACGGUAGCUAAUACCGCAUAGCGUCGCAAGACCAAAGAGGGGGACCUUCGGGCCUCUUGCCAUCGGAUGUGCCCAGAUGGGAUUAGCUAGUAGGUGGGGUAACGGCUCACCUAGGCGACGAUCCCUAGCUGGUCUGAGAGGAUGGCCAGCCACACUGGAACUGAGACACGGUCCAG
RNAcentral lists this ribosomal RNA (229 nucleotides) under uncultured bacterium. Its description in RNAcentral is "partial 16S ribosomal RNA". It matches the Rfam family "Bacterial small subunit ribosomal RNA", at positions 104 to 334 of the family's 1533-position model. The record is from RNAcentral.